GGGGUUAAAUGUUGGACUUCAAACCAGCGAAUCCUCAGGUCAAAUCCCAGCCUGAAUGGAAAAUCACUAAGGGCCCUUGGGCAAGGCUCUUAAUCCCCUAGUUGCUCCAGAUGUGUACUGAGCGCCUUAUAUGGCGGCACCCUCACACUGGGAGAAUGUG
Molecule: long non-coding RNA, 160 nt
Organism: Thalassophryne amazonica
Lineage: Eukaryota; Metazoa; Chordata; Actinopteri; Batrachoidiformes; Batrachoididae
Exons: 3
Source: RefSeq, a predicted model, not a curated record